Molecule: non-coding RNA, 46 nt
Organism: Schistosoma margrebowiei
Lineage: Eukaryota; Metazoa; Platyhelminthes; Trematoda; Strigeidida; Schistosomatidae
Source: Rfam
GCACUGCAGAGGAGUCCUAGAAUAGGACGAAGUGGCUGUCCAGUGU